This 484-nucleotide ribosomal RNA is filed under the name uncultured bacterium. RNAcentral describes it as "partial 16S ribosomal RNA". It matches the Rfam family "Bacterial small subunit ribosomal RNA", at positions 29 to 507 of the family's 1533-position model. The record is from RNAcentral.
AUUGAACGCUGGCGGCAUGCUUUACACAUGCAAGUCGAACGGCAGCGCGGGCUUCGGCCUGGCGGCGAGUGGCGAACGGGUGAGUAAUGCAUCGGAACGUGCCCAGUAGUGGGGGAUAGCCCGGCGAAAGCCGGAUUAAUACCGCAUACGACCUGAGGGUGAAAGCGGGGGACCGAAAGGCCUCGCGCUAUUGGAGCGGCCGAUGUCGGUUUAGCUAGUUUGUGGGGUAAAGGCUUACCAAGGCGACGAUCCGUAACUGGUCUGAGAGGACGAACAGCCACCACUGGAAUGGAACAAGGGCCCGGAUUCUGAGGGAGGGCAGAGGUGGGGAAUUUGGGAAAUGGGGGCAACCCUGAUCCAGCCAUGCCGCGUGCGGGAAGAAGGCCUUCGGGUUGUAAACCGCUUUUGUUCGGGAAGAAAUCCUCUGGGCUAAUACCCCGGGGGGAUGACGGUACCGGAAGAAUAAGCACCGGCUAACUACGUG